ACAGAGGGUGCAAGCGUUGUUCGGAAUUAUUGGGCGUAAAGCGCGUGUAGGCGGCUUUGCAAGUCGGGUGUGAAAGCCCUCAGCUCAACUGAGGAAGUGCGCCCGAAACUGCAGAGCUUGAGUGCCGGAGAGGGUGGCGGAAUUCCCCAAGUAGAGGUGAAAUUCGUAGAUAUGGGGAGGAACACCAGUGGCGAAGGCGGCUCACUGGCUCGAUACUGACGCUGAGGUGCGAAAGCGUGGGGAGCAAACAGGA
Molecule: ribosomal RNA, 253 nt
Filed under: uncultured prokaryote
Description: partial 16S ribosomal RNA
Rfam family: Bacterial small subunit ribosomal RNA
Source: RNAcentral